GUCCUCCAACAGCACAGCACAGCACAGCACAUAUAAUGACCCAGAGAUUAGUGUAGCCCUUGCACAAGGAUGAUAUGUUAAUUGAAGCAAAAACUAAACUGCUU
Molecule: small nuclear RNA, 104 nt
Filed under: Mus caroli (Ryukyu mouse)
Lineage: Eukaryota; Metazoa; Chordata; Mammalia; Rodentia; Muridae
Description: snRNA (MGP_CAROLIEiJ_G0035097.1)
Source: RNAcentral